This 11361-nucleotide long non-coding RNA is filed under the name Phaseolus vulgaris (common bean). RNAcentral describes it as "long non-coding RNA (PVUL_LNC004015)". Lineage: Eukaryota; Viridiplantae; Streptophyta; Magnoliopsida; Fabales; Fabaceae. The record is from RNAcentral.
GGGAAACUUGUGAGAAUCAGGAGAGACUUGGAUUUUAUUACAUAUGACUUAUUAUAAGGGCUUUAAAAUAGAUAGCAGCAUUACAUAACAGGUAAGACCAAGGUUCCAAGACAUCUCUAACAAUUGGUCAAAGGUUUCAGGAAGUGGAUAAUCUAGAGCAGCAAUCUAACAAUAGCAGCUGUAACAGCAGCAACAUCGUGCAUAGCAUUGUUCUGGUUGGUGAGUGGAGAAUUCCCAGAGAAGUCACUCUCACAAUAGGUAGCCUCAUUGGCAGCAUCAUUAGCCCCAUUUUCAGCAAACUUGGGGUCCCCUUUCUGCAGAGCCUCAGUGGCUUGUGCAACAUCAGCUACCAACACUGUGUGGUAUCUACUAGCACAAGAACUGAGGACUUCUUGCUGCUUAGCUCCUCCUCCCUUCUUUUGCAAGUCAUGGAUUAUUUUCAAGGUAUCAUAUGCUUUGGCUUUGAUCACGUUUACCAUGAUAAGAGCCAGCCCUCUGACAUCAGCAGUGGAGCUUCCAGGGCUUGCCUUGAGAUAUUGAAGGCAAAGAUUGUAGUUGGGAGUCUUCUUGCAAGUGCUCUCUAUCAGACUUUCAUCGUUUGGAUGGAAGCUUCUGCACUCGCUUCCUGGUAUUGUAUUCAUAACAACAAUGGCUUGGAGAAACAAACAUAGAAUCACUGCUUUCAAGUUUGCCAUUGUGAUUUUUUCAAAGAGAUUGCUCACAACAGUAGCUUGGUUCCUCCUCAUGGAUUGCUGCUACCCCUUUUUAUAGUCAGGAGUUCAUGUUCUGGACCUGCCUCUCACUUUAUUUUUUCCACCAAGAUAGUUUUUAUUAUUUAAAAUUCAAAUAUUCUUAGUCAGUGAAAGUUAUUGAUGAUUUUAAUUUUUAAUAAAUUUAAUCAAUAAUAUAUAUUAAUUUAGGAGAGGAUAAUAUAAAAGAAAUUUAAUAAUUAUAUUAAUGACAAACUGAUUAUAAUUAAAGAUAAUCAGUAUCAAUUAUAAUUAUGUAAUUAUAUCAUAUGAACAGCUUUUAAAGUAACAUUUCUUUUAAUAUAUCUAAUACCUAUACAUUUUUUCAACGUACGUUAUGGCUUUUCAAACCUACUUCCUGCAUUAAUACUAAUUUUACAACUUUGAAUAAAAAAAUGUGGAACUGUCAUCUUUUAAAAUUGUUUAUAAUCAUUACUUUCUGUAUUAAUUAAUACUAUUUUUUCAACUUUGAAUGAAAAAAAAAAUUGUUUAUCAUCGUGAUUCAAAUUUGCUUUCUGUGAUUAAACAUCCACCGUUGUAUGUUGGCUCGAUAAUUUUUUUUUUAUUGGCUUUCAAAUUCAAUCCUAAGUUACGAACAAAAUCCUUAGAAUUAUUAAUUGAAAAUUAUUUUUAAUCACUUAAAAUUGAUAUAUUAUGUGUAUUUUUUUUUCAAAUUUUAAUUAACGAUUUUGACACUAUUUGUACUGGUCGGGAUCGAGUAAGUCAGAUCACUCGAUCUUGAUUUACCAACCGACCGAAUAAUCAACCACAUUAAAGAGCAAAUUGAUAAUGAAUGAUAACUAAGGAAACAUUCAUAUAAAUUUGAGUCACACCCUACCAAAUUCGGGUGACACCCCGAAAAAUCAGUUAACAUUGAUUUACUAAAGAUAUGCUCCAAGUAUACCUUCCUAGAAAUUUGGAUGACAUUCCGAGAAAUCAGCUAACACUGAUUUAUUGAAGAUAUGCGUACGAUAUGACCCAUCAAGCAAAUAACUCAUUACCAAACACUAUAAACAAUUCUUCUACAAUGGAGUGAGGUGCGCUCUUAUCAGUUUUGAUAUCCUGCACUUUCAAUUAAGAGUACUUACUUGAUCGUCAGAGAACCUUCUGCAGGUUUACUCCCGAUCGAGCGCUCAAGAGUUAAGAAGUGUAAGUGUUGAAGUCUGAAGGUGUGAAAGAACUGAAGAACUGGAAUACAAGGGAGCACGACCGAACGAUCGACACCAACAACAAUAGAGACAAACAAUUUUAGGUACUAUCUAUGCCCACUUUGUCUAUAUAAGUACAAUUGGUGUCCCCGCUUGUCACCAUUCGAAGUUGGCACCAAAUCAUUUAUAGGGACGAGCCACCCCAACCAUUUCUAGUGACCUCUUAUGUCUCUUCACCGCCUGACAGUGCAGUUAAUUCAAUACAUUGGUUGCACCAGGGUCAAUUUGAGCCAUAAUUUUUGCAAGUUAACAGAAAAUUAAACACGCAAUCAACAAAUUGAAUAAAAGCACCAACAAGUUAAACACUUAGUAUCGGCAAAGUCUACCCAUUAUGGGUUGAUUCGUAUACGACUAGUAUUUUUUUAGUAGGGAGCCUAUUGAAAGCAGGUCGAAUACCCAAAAUACAUCCUUAUCUUAAGGGGUCAUGGAUGAUCUCGACCAUGAUUUGUAAUGAGUGGGCGACCAAGUCCAAUGAAAAGAAAAUUUAUGAUUCCCAUUAGAAUCAUAAAGUAGGGAUUGUCGUCAGGUUUGAUGAAGAUUUUGAAAUACCUCUUCUUGAAAUUCUUAUAGGAUGAGGUAUAGGGAGCAAAAAGAAUGUUGCCUGAAGGAAUUGAGAAAGAAAGUCAACCCAAGAUGGGAGAAUUAUAAUAAAACAAAAAAAGAUUGUGGGGACAACCUCAACCGAAAGGCAUCACUAAUUCGCCUAAAGGCCUGGAGGACCGCCCACGAAUUUGGAUGUAACUAGGUAUGAACAACGUUGAGGAUUUCAAGGACUCCCAUUUCAAAUUCAUCAAACGGAAGAGUUGUGUAAAUCGUUAAAAAGGCAUGUGUAUGCAAAGAAAAAGUCCUAAGGACCAUUUUCCUAACGUGAUAGACCCAAUCGGUGUGAUUACAACUAUCGGCUACAACCACGUCCGAUGUGGAGUUCGAUUUUAACAUAGAAACUUUAGAAAGAAACCCAUCUAAAGUAAAGGAACCCAUAAAACAGGUAGGUAUAUCAAGGGCGCGUGGGUCAACCCACUCAUAACUAGGAUAGUGAGGCAGGCGGCUAGCAAGGUUGAUCGCCUGGUUAGAACAACCCACAUCCCUCACCUCGUUAGGAUUAGAAUGUGUUUGUUUUGAUGAAGAAGAAUAAAAAGGAAUGCUAGAAUACCCAGAAGAAGAAUCUAUUAUUAACCUCUUGAAGAACAAAUGCAAAGAACAAAGGUGAAGAGUAACUUUGAAGCACUCAAACAAAGAAGGUCAGUACUCGGACAACUUUGAAGGCUCGAAUUCAGAGCAAGAAGAUGGACACGUAGCAAAGUUCGAAAAGGACUCCUAUUUAUAGAUUUUUGAAAAUGAAAUAACGAAAUGUUGUCUCCUUUAAAACGUUAGAUUCGUUUCAAUCCAAGGGUGUACAACGUUCGAACUCGAAAUGACACAAUUUGAUAGACUAUUAGAUCUCUUCGAUCAAAAGGUGCAAAACUCGAAGUAUCCAACAAUCACAUCUAGACUCUUCUGAAAUAAGCUUCAUCAACCCUGUGGGACAAGUGUAUCAAUCGGGGCCGAGUGAGCCACAUCACUCGGCCUUGAUUGACCGACCGACCAGGUAAUCAACCACUUUAAAGAACAAAUUGACAACAAAUGAAAACUAAGGAAAAAUCCUAUAAAUCCAGGCCACAUCCCUCCAAAUCCGGAUGACACCCUGAGAAAUCAGCUAACACUGAUUUACUGAAAAAUAUGCUCCAAAUAUACCUUUCUACAAAUCCGGAUGACACUCUGAAAAAUAAGCUAACAUUGAUUCAUUGAAGAUGCAUAACCCAUCAACCAAAUAGCCCAUUACCAAACACUAUAAAUAAGCCUUCUAGUUUUACACUCUCAAUAUAAAGUACUUACUUGAUCAUCGAAAAACUUUCUAUAAGUUUAUUUCUGACCGAACAAUCAGAAAAGUCAAAUUCUUCCACUAACUAUUACUAUAUGCACAAAAGAAUGUGUGCUACCGGAUGGCCGAAGAGCCGACUAGCCGACACGUGCUACAGCCAAACACGUAAUUAGACGUGAAUAAACCAGAUUAAGCGCAAAGCAUGGUUAAGGUGCAAUUGGGCCUUCAAUUGGACUUAAAAGCAGGCCCAUAACAGCCAGAGCCCAUCCAGAGCAGUAUAAAUAGCAAGAGAGGUACAACACCCAAGGUAAUUCACUCCCUACUCCUCUGGUACCUAACUCUCGAACUGACUUGAUCGUUGGAGUGUCUUCGCAGGCACACUCCCCAUCGUGUUCAAAUAAAAGGAAGCCAACCGAGAGACUGGAAAAACGAGAAGAUUACAACAAGAAGAAGUGUUCUGCAGGGUUCUAGCUUGUAGGAACAUUUUGGCGCCCACCGUGGGGAAGAAAGGAAACUCCACGAAAUAUCCGCAUGGUAACUACAAGGAACAUGAGACAGGAAUGCGCAGGAAGAAACUAGUCACCCAGAUCCUAUGGCACUUAUCUUGAAAAUACAAAAAGAGAUGGAGAUGUUGAAAAAUAAAAGCAAGGAAGAGAUAAAAGGAAUAAAACGAAGGGGGGAGGAGGAGAUGGAAGCUUUGAGAAAGGAGAAUGCUCGAAUGAAACAAAGGCUCGUUGAGAGAUCGGACAUCCCAGAAACAGUGGGUGACAUCCCCCCGAACAAAAACACGGAUACAGAUAUACACAAGGUCGGGAGUUCAUAUCAAGAAAAUACCAGACCGGCCUCAGCUAAUGCUUUUGGCACGGCUCCUCGAAGAACCCCUUUUGUUGAAGCCAUCCUGGAGGUGCCUUUGCCGGGAACUUGGAAUAAUCCAACAUUGGAUACGUAUGAUGGAACCACAGACCCGGAUGAACAUGUGAAUGUGUACCUGACGCAAGUUAGCCUGCACACAGCAGAAGACGCGCUAUGGUGUCGAAUAUUUCCCACCUAUCUUAAAGGAGCAGCCUUAAGUUGGUUUACUCAACUACCGGCUCAAUCCAUAAACUGUUUUGACACGCUCGCAAUGAGGUUCGGAGCUCAAUUCACUACCAGUCGACCACACCACCUCACUUCGAUCGCCCUAGUGAAUAUUCGUCAAGAAAAGGCUGAGUCCUUGAGAGCCUUUAUAGACAAAUUCGGCAAGACAACUUUGGACAUACGAAACCUAAGUCCCGAAGUGGCGAUGCACCAUAUGGUGACCGCACUAAAGCCGAGACUGUUUUCAGAUAGUUUAUGCAUGCAGUCAGCCACGACAUUGGAUGAGUUGCGCUAAAAGGCCAUCAAAUACCUGCAGCUGGAGGAAUUGAAAGAAUUCUGAAACAAGGCUCGAACACCUGAUGAACCCGAAAGGAGGGGUGAUAGAGGCAGACCAACACAAUUCGGGAAGCCUAGAGACUUUCCUAAAGGUCUGUGUUUUACCCAUUACACCCCCUGAAGGCUGAAAGGUCGAGAGUCAUGGAAGAAGCCCUCAAUGCCGAUCUUCUUAGAGCACCGAGCAGAACUCCUACACUGCAGAAUGCAGAUCAGACCAAGCAUUGUUGGUACCAUCGCAACUUUAGGCACACGAAGGAAGAUUGUUGGGCCUUGAAAGACAAGACUGAAGAACUCAUACAAGCAAGCCAUUUGCGACGUUUCGUCCAAACAAAUCAAUUCAUUUAAAAAAUAUUAAAUUAAUUCACAUUUAUUUAUUAUUUUAAUAUUUAUUUAAAAAAUCAAGUUAAUUAUAUUAUAAAAAACUAAUUUAUUAAAAAAAAUUCAAACUUUUUUUUCACAAUUUUAAAUAGAAAGUAUGAACCUUAUUUUUUCUCGAUUAAUAUAUUUAUUCUUUUUUGUUGAAUUUCAACAGACCAUAAAUAUUUAUUAAAUUAUAUAUGUUUCAAUAGUUACCUUGAAAAAUGUCCACUUUAAGGAGUUGUAUGAAAACAACAAUGUCUUGCGAUUAUCUAAUUAGUUUAAAUGUGUUUAAUUUAUCAACAAAAAGGUUCAAACAAAUUACAUUAUAUGGAUACCCAUUUAUAAUAAAGUUGUUAUCUAUCAAUCUUUAUAAACAUUUAUAUUUGUUUUUUCAUGUGACUUGUCUCCAAAUCUAAUAGCCCUAAACACACCCGUCACAUGUGAUGAUGAUCAUUCAUAAAUUCACAAGUUCAUAAAUAUGUUUCAUUCUAUUAAAAAAAAAUACCUACUAAGUAACUCUAUCAAACCCAUCACCAACAAUACGAAGAAUAGUCAAAAAGUUAUUUACAUUUCUAUUUACUAAAUUACGUUAAUAGUAUCUUAUCGUAAAUUGAUAAUUGAUUUUAUAAAUGUAACAAAUGUUUAUAAUAAAGUUUUUCUAUUCAACCAAUCUAAAAAUUGAAAUAAAUUUUACCACCAUAUUGGUCGAAGCCAAAUGAGCCAUAUCACUCGACAUCAUUGACCGUCCACUGAAUGAUUAACUAUAUUAAAAAUUAAAUCAAAGAUAAUUGACAAGUAUGAUAACAUCCUACAAAUCGGGAUAACCUUUCUAUAAAUCUGGGUUGGACCUCGCUAAAUCUGGGAGCUAUGAGAUAAAUCAGCUAAUACUAAUUUAUUGAAGAUACGAUACGACUCAUGAAUAAAAUAUUCCACUAUCAAACACUAUAAAUAGGCCUUCUUCGUAAGAGAAUAAAGUACGCUUUUAUCAACUUACAUCAUACACUCAAUACAAAGUACUUACUUGAUCGUUGAAGAAUCUUCUAUAGGUUAACUCCCGAUCAAGCAUUAGGAUUUGAAGAGUUAAAGCUCUAAGGAGCACAAGAGGAGCGAAAGAAAAACGAUCAUGACAAGGGAGUGCAUACGGGAUGAGUGACUGACACCAACAACAGUUGUUACUGCCAGUUCCAAAUACUAUCUAGGCUCCCUUACUCUAUACAAUUACAAGAACUAAGCAAAAUCAAUGACUAAAAUGAUGCAGAAAUUUUUCUUCAAGCCAUUAGCAAAAGCAAAUGAAAAUAUCCAAAUCUUGACAUGAAAAUGAGAUAGAAAAUGAGGAAUGCUACUAGUCAAAACGCAAUGUUAGAAAAUUAUGUAAAUUAAUUUAUAAUGUGACUCAUAUGAAAUAGAUUUUGGACUUUGGUUCUGAAUAUUAUUUAAUAAAAUAAAAGACCAAUUGUUUAAUGUGAGAAGUUUUAUAUAUAUAUAUAUAUAUAUAUAUUAUGAUACCUAAUGAAAACCUAAUCUGAUGGAGAUUGAGAAAGAAUAGAAACGGGUUUUGUCUCUGCAAAGUAAGUUUUUCACGGUUAACCAUCAAGAAAGAACGUGAAAAGAAAGGAAUUGCAAUAGAUAUAUUGAGAAAUGGAGAUAAAAAGAAACUGUUCACAUAGGGACUCUCAUGGAUCAAGGUAAGUGUCUAUCUCUAUUAUAAUCCAAUGUAUAGAAUGUGAGAAUUAUAGUUGUAAGAUCCUUAUGAUGAUAUGCAUUAUUGUUCAUUAGUGUACGCUUUGAUUUUACAUGUGGUAUCAAAGCAUGCUUGCUCAAAUUUAUGAUUCUACAUGAAUGAUGUUUUACCCAAUUUUAUGAACCUAAUUUUAAAAUUAUGAAUAUUGUAAAGAAAAUAAUAUCAUUUGAGGAUAAUUUUCAUGGUUUAAUUUAUCCUUUUAUUUCUGUUGCAUUAUGAAUUGAUUUGAAAUUAAAUUAAUCAAAUCUCAAGUUUUUCGUUGCAUCGUAAAUCAUGAUUUUUUUUUGUUUUUAUUUGAAUUCAAGAGGGAAAGAUUACGAUAAAUAAAAAGGAAUAACAUAAAUAUAUAUUUGUAUAUUUUGUUGAUGAAUUUUAUUUCAAUUAAUAUAUUAUUUUUUGAUUUAUUUGUAUGAUAGAUUAGUAAUCACUAAAGUGAUCAAAUCUUUAUGUUUUAUUUAAUUUCAAAUGACUGAUGAAUUUUAUUUCAAUUAAUAUUAUUUCUGGACAUAUUUGUAUGAUAGAUUUGUAAUCACCAAAGUGAUCAAAGCUUUUUGUUUUAUUUAAUUCCAAAUUAGUGAUGAAUUUUGUUUCAAUUAUUUAUAGAAUGGAUGCUAAAUUAUUUAUUUAUGGGUUAAUUAAAAUUCAUUAUUAUAAGGCAUUUGUGGAUCACCCAAAGGUUGAUUAGUUGUUAUUAUAAUUAAUGGAUAUGAUUGUUGGUACUGAGUAUGUGUUAUAUUAUAGGGCUUGGAAAAGGUCAAGCAAACUAAUCAUGAUGUUUAUAUGAAUGAGCAUAACAAGUAAUAUUAAGUUUGUUCUUCACAAAAUUGAAAGUGCAAAAGAAUUCACGAGAUUUGUGGAAGAGCGCUCCCAAAAUACUGAUAAGUCUCCUGCCAGGACAUUAAAGAGUACCUUAACUACCAUGAAAUUUGAUAGUUUUCGUACUAAGCAUGAACAUGUCAUUGAGAUGACAAAUAUUGUAGCAAGACUUAAAUAUAUUGGAAUGACAGUGGAUAAAGUUUUUCUUGUGCAGUUCAUCUUGAACUCAUUACUGUAUGAGUAUGGUCUUUUCCAAAUGAACUAUAAUAUCAUGAAAGACAAAUGGAAUGGUCAUGAAUUGUACAUUAUGUUAGUUAGGAAGAGAGCAAACUUAAGAACCAAGGAAACCACUCCCUUAAUCAUGUGAACAAUCAGGGAGCUGGAAAGAAAGUUUACAAGAAACAUGGAAAGGCUAAAUGACCGUUAAAGAUAAAUGAGUCCUCUACUAAACUCCAGAAGAAAAAUGACAAAUGUCAUUUAUAUGGGAAAUCUGGAUAUUUCCAAAAUGAUUGUCUGAAACGUAAAGCUUGGUUCGAAAAGAAAGGAAAACAUAAUGCAUAUUAUGUAUGUUUUGAAUCAAACUUAACAAAUGUUUCACAUAAUUCUUGGUGGAUUGAUUCUGGAUGCACAACUCAUGUUUAUAAUAUGAUGCAGGGAUUCCUUUCAACCCGAACCAUAAAACAAAAUGAAAAGUUUGUCUUUAUGGGGAAUAGAGUGAAGGUUUUAGUGGAAGUUGUCGGGACUUAUCGUUUAAUCCUUGACAUUGGAUUUUAUUUAGAAUUAAUGGAUACUUUUUAUGUACCUAGUAUCUUUAGAAAUUUGAUUUCUUUGUCUAAACUUGAUGUUGUUGGAUGCUCUUUUAAAUUUGGGAAUGGUUGUUUCAGUUGGUAUAGGCGUACUUAUUUAAUUGGAUCUAGUACUCUUAAUGAUGGUUUAUAUAAAUUGAAUCUUGAUAAUUUAUAUGUUGAAAUUGUUAUGACAUUGUAGCAUAAUGUUGGCACUAAACGUAGUUUAGUGAAUGAAUGUUCUGCUUUCUUGUGGCAUAAACGUUUGGGACAUAUUUCUAAAGAAAGGAUGGAAAGAUUAGUAAAGAAUGAAAUACUUCCAAAUUUAGAUUUUACUGAUCUGAAUGUAUGUGUCGAUUGUAUUAAAGGCAAACAAACAAAGCACACAAAGAAGGGAGCCACGAGAAGCACUCAACUUCUUGAAAUUAUACACACUGAUAGAUGUGGACCUUUACAUGUAAAUUUUUUCAAUAAAGAAAGGUAUUUUAUCACCUUUAUUGAUGAUUUUUCAUGUUAUGGUUAUGUCUAUUUACUGUAUAAAAAAUCUCAAUCAAUGAAUGCCUUGGAAGUUUAUAUAAAUGAGGUGGAAAGGCAAUUACACAGAAAGGUGAAAAUUGUUAGGUAAAUUACAGGUGGUGAAUAUUAUGGAAAAUAUGAUGAAAGUGGAGAACACCCUGUUUUUUUUAAGUUCUUUGAGAAACGUGGUAUUUGUACUCAAUACACAAUGUCAGAUACACCACAACAAAAUGGUGUGUCAAAAAGGCAUAAUCGAACCUUAAUAGAUAUGGUUAGGAGUAUAUUAAGUAAUUCAUCUUUACCUGUAUCAUUAUAGAUGUAUGCUUUUAAAACUACCAUGCAUCUGUUGAACAUGGUUCCUAGCAUGACAGUUCAAAAGAUACCUUUUGAAUUAUGGACAAGUACGAAACACAAUUUGAGACACCUGUAUGUUUGGGGAUGUCAAGCAAAAAUUAGAAUAUAUAAUCUGCAAGAAAAAAAAAAUUGGAUGCAAGAACAAUAAGUGGAUAUUUCAUAUGUUUUACUAUCCUACCCAUAGUACAAAAAUUGUUGAAACUGGAAAAUGCACGAUUCAUUGAAAAUGUUCAAACUAGUGGGAGUGAAGCUUCACAAAAUGUGGAGAUUAAAGAAGUUAGAGUACAAGUUCCUUUAACUAGUACCUCUACUUCAAGUAUUGGUGUUCCUAAUCUAGUUAAACCACUCAAUGGUAAAGAAGAACAACAAAUUAAUGAUAAUGAGGUUAACAAUGAACCUGUAGUAGAACAAUCAUAAGAAAUAAUAUUAAGAAGAUCUCAAAGAGAAAGAAAGUGUGCUAUUUCGAAUGAUUAUGUGGUUUAUCUACAAGAGUCCGAAAAUGACUUACAAUGGUGAUAAUUCUAAUAAGUGGUUAGAUGCCAUGAAAUAUGAGCUUAAAUCAUUGACAUACAAUGAUGUACGGGACAUUAUGGAAUUGCCAAAAUGAUAUAAAAGAGUUGAGUGUAAAUGGGUCUUUAAGUCUAAGCGUGACUCUCAUGACAAUAUCGAACAUUGACAUGUAACUGUCAUGACUCUUAUUAGUUUUGUAUCCUUGAUUUUGAGGAUGAUAGAACCAAUUUACGCAAGGCCUUUCAAUGCCAAUUAUGAUUUAUAUAAUUAUUAAAUCAUGAAAGUAUUAUAGCUCAUAUGAGUAAAGUGGAAGAAUGUUAUAAAAUUAAUUUUAUAAUGUGAUUCAUAUGGAAUAGAUUUUGGACUUUGGGCCUGAAUAUGAUUUAAUCAAAUAAAAGACUCAUUGGUUAAUGUGAGAAUAUAUAUAUAUAUAUAUAUAUAUAUAAAUAAAUAUUACGAUACCUAAUGAAAACCUAACCUGAUGGAGAUUGAAAAAAAAUAUAAACGAGUUUUGUUUUUGCAAAUGAAGUUGCACACGCUUAAAAGAACGUAAAAAGAAAUGAGAGAUAGAUUGACAAAUGAAUAUAAAAAGAAACUGCUUACAUGAGAACUCUCAUAGAUUGUUUAUCUCUAUUAUAAUCUGAUAUGUGGAAUGUGAGAAUAAUAGUUUGUAAGAUCCUUAUGAUGAUGUGGAUUAUUGUGAGUAUCAGGAGAGACUUGGAUGUUAUUACAUAUUACUUAUUAUGAGAGCUUUAAAAUAGAUAGCAGCAUUACAUAACAGGUAAGACCAAGGUUCCAAGACAUCUGUAACAAUUGGUCAAAGGUUUCAGGAAGUGGAUAAUCUAGAGCAGCAAUCUAACAAUAGCAGCAGUAACAACAGCAACAUCGUGCAUAGCAUUGUUCUGUUUGGUGAGUGGAGAAUUCCCAGAGAAACCAUUCUCACAAUAGGUAGCCUCAUUAGCAGCAUCAUUAGCCCCAUCUUCAGCAAACUUGGGGUCCCCUGCCUGCAGAGCAUAAGUGGCUUUUGGAACAUCACCUACCAACACUG